Molecule: ribosomal RNA, 715 nt
Filed under: uncultured euryarchaeote
Lineage: Archaea; Methanobacteriati; Methanobacteriota
Description: bacterial SSU rRNA
Rfam family: Archaeal small subunit ribosomal RNA
Source: RNAcentral
UGAUCCUGCGGAAGAUUGCUGCUAUUGGGGUUCGACUAAGCCAUGCAAGUUUUCCCUUCGGGGAGGCGAAAGGCUCAGUAACACGUCAAUAAUCUGCCCUUAGGCUCGGGAUAACCACGGGAAACUGUGGAUAACACCGAAUAUGAGAUUCUUACUGGAAUGUAUUUUCUCUGAAACGCAAGGCCUAAGGAUGAGUUGGCGGCGGAUUAGGUUGUUGGUGGGGUAAAGGCCCACCAAGCCGAAGAUCCGUUGGGGCCUUGAGAGAGGUAGCCCCGAGAAGGACACUGAGAUACUGGUCCUAGCCCUACGGGGUGCAGCAGGCGCGAAACCUUUACAAUGCGCGAAAGCGUGAUAAGGGAACCCUGAGUGCUCAUGCUAAGCAUGGGCUUUCGCCAAGAGUAAAUAUCUUGGCGAAUAAGUGGGGGGUAAGACUGGUGCCAGCAGCCGCGGUAAUACCAGCGCCACAAGUGGCAAUCAGAAUUAUUGGGUCUAAAGCGCCCGUAGCCUGUCAGGUAAGUCUUUUGUGAAACUGUUGUCCUAAAUGCAACAGCGUGCAAAAGAUACUGCCAGACUCGGAACCGGAAGGGGUAAGGUGUAUGCAAGGGGGAGCGGUAAAAUGCUAUAAUCCCUUGUAGACAAUCGGUGGCGAAAGCGCCUUACUAGUACGGAUUCGACGGUGAGGGACGAAAGCCAGGGGAGCGAACCGGAUUAGAUA